Molecule: long non-coding RNA, 551 nt
Organism: Hyaena hyaena (striped hyena)
Lineage: Eukaryota; Metazoa; Chordata; Mammalia; Carnivora; Hyaenidae
Exons: 3
Source: RefSeq, a predicted model, not a curated record
GACAGUCCAUAGCGGAAGGAACAAAAACUUGGGACUAAGAAGUAAAACAGAGAGUGUCCAUCGUUAACAUAGCUGAGCUGAAAAAGAACUCUCUGCUUCUUAGUCUUGCCUUCCCACAGAGAAGCGGGUCGUUCUGCCCACAGUGCCUCCACCACUGCUCGGUCCGCACUUACCGCCCGAGGACACUGGUCCAGUGCCCGUCUAUGAUUUGAGAUGUGGCCACAUCACCUUAGAUGACCGGAUGCUUGAAAAACAAGUCCCUAAGGGGAGGAGUAGGAGUGUUACAAUCUUCCAGUGGACUAGAAACCUCCUGGAAAUCUGCCAUCAAAUUCAUGACCAUAGUAGACAACGCUGCUAGUCUCCUCCUGCCGGGAAGGAGAUGACCAGCUUGCUGGGAAGUGCUCCCAGGAUGGAUGAUUUCUACUGAGGAUGGCUCUGGGUACACAGUACGAUUCCGACAGGAAUGCGAUGGCUUUUUAUGUGCCCCGUAAAUGCCCAAUUAGCUUUUUGCCUUCCUGCCUUCUUUUUCCCCUUCCUUUUCCUUCUCUCUG